Molecule: ribosomal RNA, 452 nt
Filed under: uncultured bacterium
Lineage: Bacteria
Description: bacterial SSU rRNA
Rfam family: Bacterial small subunit ribosomal RNA
Source: RNAcentral
UUGGAAGGGCAGCAGUGGGGAAUAUUGCACAAUGGGCGCAAGCCUGAUGCAGCCAUGCCGCGUGUAUGAAGAAGGCCUUCGGGUUGUAAAGUACUUUCAGUCGUGAGGAAGGUGUUAAGGUUAAUAACCUUAGCAAUUGACGUUAGCGACAGAAGAAGCACCGGCUAACUCCGUGCCAGCAGCCGCGGUAAUACGGAGGGUGCGAGCGUUAAUCGGAAUUACUGGGCGUAAAGGGCACGCAGGCGGUUAAUUAAGUUGGAUGUGAAAUCCCCGGGCUUAACCUGGGAAUGGCAUUCAAGACUGGUUAGCUAGAGUCUUGUAGAGGGGGUAGAAUUCUAUGUGUAGCGGUGAAAUGCGUAGAGAUGUGGAGGAAUACCGGUGGCGAAGGCGGCCCCUGGACAAGACUGACGCUCAUGUGCGAAAGCGUGGGGAGCAAACGAGGAUUAGAUACC